CUUUCUUCUCUUCUUCUUUCCAUGGCCUCCCAUUUGUUUCUUCAACUGCCCUGUUUCUCCUACCACACACAAACCUUUAAAUCCUCUACUGGAUGGAACUGGAAGCCUAGUUCAAGCGCAUUACUCGGUUCACAGUUCUACCAAAGGCUGCAGGGGAAUCGUUCACGGCAAAUAAGAGCAAUUUACUUGGAUUAUGGUUUGCUGGUUACUCUUCUACAAAGGGUAUAUCUCGAAGUCCGAUGUCAGCAGUUUCUUCUCCCCCUCCUUGUGAUCCCUCUGAUACUGGCAAUGAGGCUCUUUUACCCAAGGCGGAUUCUCCAGCAACCGAAUUCAAUCGGGUGAGUUGUCUUUGAAUUGAGAUGGGACAUUGACUAAUAUGAUUAAUAUGAUUCUUCAGGUAGCUGUUUAUGCUAUGUGGAAAACGGUUUUCGAAGUGGAGAUAUUGUUGUCUCAAGAACGUCAUAACAAUCCAUCCCCAGUUAGAAAGAUCUUGACUGCGGAGACAGAUUCGUUAGAGGAGUUCAUUGAAAGGCGGUUGAAAUUGAGACAUCCGGAAUUGGUACAAUGGUUCAGAAUGGUGGAACUUCCAAGGAUGACAGGUUUUUUCAUUCCAUUGUUAAAGAAAUGGUCAACGGAGUAUGCAGGAAGGUUUGCUCAAAAUACUCCUUUGCUUUCAACCAUAAGUACUUUUUCUUCCCUAGAGGAGUAUUGACACCCUCCCUACUUAUUAACUCCGUUGCUGGAAAGGGUAUAUAUCGGUGAAUGAUAAGGUUGGUUCUGUCGAUUCGGGGACUUCAUUUCCACGACCGAGGAAGUCGCUGAUGAUCGGAUAAAGUUUUCUUACUAUAUUCGUUGGUUUCUUGUUUGCUAAGUGAAAGGGAAAAAAAGGUUUCUAGAUUUUUUCUUGUCCUUAUGGUUGUCAAGGUUUUGCCUUGAUUAAUGUGGAUCU
Molecule: RNA transcript, 949 nt
Organism: Hibiscus syriacus
Lineage: Eukaryota; Viridiplantae; Streptophyta; Magnoliopsida; Malvales; Malvaceae
Exons: 3
Source: RefSeq, a predicted model, not a curated record